AUGUUUGCCCCUGCGCGGCGUGGUUCGCAGUUUUGGAAAGCCCUUAUUAAAGUUCGGCCGGUUUUUUUGGAGCACGUUAAGUUUUGUGUGGGUAAUGGGUCUGCUGUUCGUUUUUGGUUAGAUUGGUGGUCCGGGGAUGCUCCCCUGGCUGUUAGCUUUCCGGUUCUGUUCUAUUAUAGCCCCAAUCCGCAAAUCUCCAUCGCGGAGGUGGCUGCUAAUAAUUGGGACUUGGCUUUUCGUCGGGCCCUGUCUCCUGAAGAGUUGGAAGAAUGGCAAAAUCUUUCUGCCCUCUUCCCUGUGCUCUCGGAGGAGGCUGACUCUGUGGUUUGGCCACUUACGGCCUCUGGGCUAUUCUCGGUCAAAUCGUUGUAUUCUAGACUCAUUGGUGGUACUACUUCGGCUCGCUUCUCUUGUAUUUGGAAAUCUAAGGUCCCUCCUAAGAUUAAGAUUUUCCUCUGGCAAGCCUUCCGAGGUCGCCUUCCUUCUGCUGAUCAGAUCAAAAAACGCAAUGGGCCGGGCUCGGAAUUCUGUAACUUGUGUGGGGCUUUGGAAAACUCUAAUCACAUCUUUUUCAACUGU
This 579-nucleotide ribosomal RNA is filed under the name Triticum aestivum (bread wheat). RNAcentral describes it as "partial small subunit ribosomal RNA". The record is from RNAcentral. Lineage: Eukaryota; Viridiplantae; Streptophyta; Magnoliopsida; Poales; Poaceae.